GACGAACGCUGGCGGCGUGCUUAACACAUGCAAGUCGAGCGGUAAGGCCCUUUCGGGGGUACACGAGCGGCGAACGGGUGAGUAACACGUGGGUGACCUGCCCUCAGCUCUGGGAUAAGCCUGGGAAACCGGGUCUAAUACCGGAUAUGACUCCAUGACGCAUGUUGUGGGGUGGAAAGCCUUGUGCGGCUGAGGAUGGGCCCGCGGCCUAUCAGCUUGUUGGUGGGGNGAUGGCCUACCAAGGCGACGACGGGUAGCCGGCCUGAGAGGGCGACCGGCCACACUGGGACUGAGACACGGCCCAGACUCCUACGGGAGGCAGCAGUCGAGAGGCUUUGGCAAUGGGGGAAACCCUGACCAAGCGACGCCGCGUGGAGGAUGAAGGCCCUUGGGUCGUAAAC
This 401-nucleotide ribosomal RNA is filed under the name uncultured bacterium. RNAcentral's name for it is "bacterial SSU rRNA". It matches the Rfam family "Bacterial small subunit ribosomal RNA", at positions 28 to 430 of the family's 1533-position model. The record is from RNAcentral.